UAAUACAUGCAAGUCGAGCGAAUCGAUGGGAGCUUGCUCCCUGAGAUUAGCGGCGGACGGGUGAGUAACACGUGGGCAACCUGCCUAUAAGACUGGGAUAACUUCGGGAAACCGGAGCUAAUACCGGAUACGUUCUUUUCUCGCAUGAGAGAAGAUGGAAAGACGGUUUCGGCUGUCACUUAUAGAUGGGCCCGCGGCGCAUUAGCUAGUUGGUGAGGUAAUGGCUCACCAAGGCGACGAUGCGUAGCCGACCUGAGAGGGUGAUCGGCCACACUGGGACUGAGACACGGCCCAGACUCCUACGGGAGGCAGCAGUAGGGAAUCUUCCGCAAUGGACGAAAGUCUGACGGAGCAACGCCGCGUGAACGAAGAAGGCCUUCGGGUCGUAAAGUUCUGUUGUUAGGGAAGAACAAGUACCAGAGUACUGC
This 428-nucleotide ribosomal RNA is filed under the name Bacillus sp. 001-2.1-LH-Heh(h)-01. RNAcentral describes it as "bacterial SSU rRNA". It matches the Rfam family "Bacterial small subunit ribosomal RNA", at positions 49 to 467 of the family's 1533-position model. Lineage: Bacteria; Bacillati; Bacillota; Bacilli; Caryophanales; Bacillaceae. The record is from RNAcentral.